Molecule: ribosomal RNA, 253 nt
Filed under: uncultured bacterium
Lineage: Bacteria
Description: partial 16S ribosomal RNA
Rfam family: Bacterial small subunit ribosomal RNA
Source: RNAcentral
UACGUAGGGUGCAAGCGUUGUCCGGAAUUAUUGGGCGUAAAGCGCUCGUAGGCGGCCUGUCGAGUCUGGUGUGAAAAUCCAGGGCUUAACCCUGGACCUGCAUCGGGUACGGGCAGACUAGAGUGCGGUAGGGGAGAUCGGAAUUCCAGGUGUAGCGGUGAAAUGCGUAGAUAUCUGGAGGAACACCGGUGGCGAAGGCGGCAUCCUGGACCGAUACUGACGCUGAGGAGCGGAAGCCAGGGGAGCAAACGGG